Molecule: long non-coding RNA, 211 nt
Organism: Branchiostoma floridae (Florida lancelet)
Lineage: Eukaryota; Metazoa; Chordata; Leptocardii; Amphioxiformes; Branchiostomatidae
Exons: 3
Source: RefSeq, a predicted model, not a curated record
CAAAGAAACGGGCUGACAAAUUUCUGGAGGAAGAAGCGAGAGAACCGUCUGGAAGGAAAUCAUAGGGUCAACAAUCUACAGAAACACCUAAGCUGUACAAGAAGAAAAGAAAGAAAGUGAAAGAAACUCGCAAAGCCGUAUCUCAUAAAGGAGGUGUUGAAAGAGAGGAGACGAAAUCUGCAUCUGAUUCGAACGAGUCUGAAGCAUCACG